UUAGCCGCGAUUCACCUACAAUUGUGAAUAUAGGAUUGAGUGCCGGUUGAUGUGGUAGUGAAUAAUCUACGAAGAUAACAUUAGCGAGCAACGCUAUAGCCAUAAAAGUUGUGUUUAAUGUAAUAACUAUAUCAGUGUAAGCUUGUAACUAAAAGUAAAGACUAAGAUAAAAAGAUAUUUUAAAGUUCUAUAUUACUUUAGUGACUUAGUCAAACUAUAAACAAAGAUAAGCCAGGUCCUGUAACGGUGAGACUAAAAGUCGCCGUAUGUGAAGCAAAUUUCUGGCUAGGCUAAGCUCAUUUUUCCUCAUCGUUGGUUAGGCCUAAACAGUGGUUCGUCUUAACCUAAAGCAAUCACAAUGUGUCCUGUUGUAUUAUUAGCGAUGAUUAUGGGCUUUCUUAUGUUCUUAUUAGAAUUAACAGCUGCCAUCACAGUAAAGUUUAUGCCAAAUCGUGUAGAUAAACUAAAAGUAGGUGAUGAGAAAAAUGUGAGUUUCUCACUCGUCGAUUUCAAGAUAGAAGAUCGCAGUCAAUACCAAGUACUGGUGGCAGAUCCGUUUGUGGCUGAUGUGAAAAAUAACGUAUUUAACCAGACCGAAAUUCGUGGCAGUGGAACAAAUAGUGAAACCUAUAAUGGUAGUUUCAUUUUAACAGGCAAAUUUUUAGGACAUACAUAUGUUCGUGUCAAGGCAGUAUCAAAAUCGGAGUUUAAGGACGAUGAAUCUGAGCCAUUGAAAAUCAGUGUUAUUAGGAAGGAAAGUACGUUAUCGAAAGUCUUCAUUGUGUCCGUAGCAACGUUAGUUUCAUUAAAUUAUAUUAAUAUGGGUUGUGCGCUAGAUAUGAAUAUUAUUUUAGCCGUUUUAAAAAAGCCUAUUGCACCAGCUAUAGGGUUCGGCUGUCAGUAUGUUUUCAUGCCUUUGAUAGCCUAUGGAAUUGGGAAACUUCUUUUUGAUUCACCUAUUCUUCAACUUGGUCUGUUCAUAUUUGGCUGCAGUCCAGGAGGAGGGGCUAGCAACAUGUGGACAGUCCUACUUAAUGGAAACCUGGACCUCAGCAUCACCAUGACUUUUAUUAGUACUCUUACUUCCUUAGGUAUGAUGCCCCUAUGGAUAUUUACUCUAGGCAAGACGCUCUUUAAUGGAACUACUCGAAUUCCAUUUAAAAACAUUUUCAUUUCUCUUGUGAGCAUGGUGAUACCUCUAGGGAUUGGACUAUUAAUCCAAAAGUUCUUUCCGAAGGCAGCCAAGUUGGGGCGCCGUAUCCUAGCUCCAGCAUGCAUUUUAAUGAUUAUUUACAUAGUGGCUUUUGGAACUUACGCCAACCUGUACAUGUUUAAACUUUUCUCUUGGCGAGUGGUAAUAGCUGCCCUCAUCAACGUGUGGUUCGGAUUCCUUGUUGGAGCUCUUGCUGCUCGCCUGAUUGGUCGACCUGUUGAAGACGUCAUUGCGAUCGCCGUUGAAACCGGGGUUCAGAAUACAGGAAUCUCUAUCGUUCUACUGGGUUUCUCCUUGCCGCAACCAGAUGCAGAUUUGGCUUCCGUUGCACCUGUCGCAGCGUCUAUUAUGAUGCCAAUUCCUCUGGUGAUAAUUUAUAUCAUUCAGAAGAUACGAGCUUGCUGUCGUAACGAGCACAAAGAUGCGGUUCAAGAAGAUGUAACGAAAGAGGAAAAACACACUAAAGUUUUGGAAUCACCUACCAGCACUGAUACUACGAUAGCUGUCAAUGAGCACAUGUAAUAAAUGAAACUGUUGACGAGUACAUUUUUAGUAGGUAGAUUACGUUUUACGUCCAAUAUUAAGAAUCGCAGAAAUCCAAACUGCCAUCAGGAGUCGUGAAAUACAUGUUUCUCUCUGGACCUUUUAUGUAGGGUAAUGCUUUGCUAAUUCAAAAAUACGAAACUAAUAAAUAGUAAUAGAGUAAAAAGUGAUGGCUUAGCAUCCACGUGACGACACGCCAGCUGGUUUUAAAAAAAAACACCAGGUUGAAUUCGUUAUUGCUGCGCAUCGGAUCAGACAUGGUGCAGUGCUUUGCUGUGAAAUACCGCCGUCAAAGUGAAAGAGGGAGUUGUAAAUUCCCAUAGGAUCAUCAAUGAAGAGGUGGAAAGAAUUAUACAGGUAAAGUACACAGAAUAAAUGUGUGUGUUUUUUAAGCCGAGCACUAUCUAGUUCACAAUACUCUUAGCAGAGCUCUCAGGUAAUUGAUUUUGGAAAGAUUGGGAUUUUGUGUUGAUGUGUGGGGUGGGGGUGAGGAGACCCUCCACCGAGGCAUUCUGAGUAAUUUUAAGACUUUAUAUGCAGCAUUUUCAGAGUAUUUUAUUUAGGAAUUAUUUAAAACUGUAAAAUUUCAUAACAACUCUACUACAAAAUAUCAAUACUGCUUCCACGACAAAGUAUUUGCGUGAUUUUAUUCAACAUUGAAAAUUUCAUUACAUGUACCAGAAUGUUGCUUAUUAUAAUACUAUAUAGCUUGUUUUAGUAAGUCCUUCAAGGGUUCAUAUACACAACAGGAAUCUUUAUUGGCCAUUAUUAUGGUUAUCAGUUAGCCAAGUUUUCCAUCAACUUGAAGAGAUGGUCGAAAUGGGGUUUAAUUUUUUCAAAUCCGUGAAAAUACACAUUCUUUCCCUGUAUAUGAUUGUGUUAAAAUCACUAAAAUUUUAGCAACUUUACCCAGUCUGCCAACUAUAUCUGAGCUAGUAUUUGCUAGUUUAAUGGAACACAAAUGUCCCCAUAUAACAUUUGUUUGAACAGUUGAGACAGUUUCUUCAGCACCAUUGUCAUUAGGUAAGUAUUACUUGGCAGCAUUCCAAACUCUCUCUCUGGGAUAUCGGCAUCCUGGUAUUCUAUGAAUUCUUCGUAAAGCACCUCCAGUUCACUGGAACUAAGAGUAAAAAAGGCGGGAUAUCUUUCAAGGGAAGAACUCUAUAUCCUGAAAAACUGCGUUGCCUCUUUGGAAGAAAUCAAUAAACUUGGCAUGUUUAAGUGUGUCAUCAUUCUGUGGAAGUUUGUUGAAUGUCUAACCCAUUUGUAGAACAAUUUACUGUGCCUUUCUUCUACAUCACCCCCGUCAAAAAGCUUGUUUAACAGUAGCUCUGUCAACAAAAGCUGGUCAUCACAUAACUUUUGACUUUCCCCUUCAAAUUUUACAUCAGAAAUAAUUUGUGCCACAUUUAUGUUUUCGAUGGGAACGAAUUUCCCUUGGAGACGCUUAACAUAAUCUGUAAUGUGGUUAUCAACUUCAUGAAUGCAUGGGUCUUCUCUUUGAAGAAAACGAUUCAGUGUGGUGAUUGAAGGUAACACAGACUGGAAAAACGUGGUAGACUUUCACUUCCUGAGUUCGACAUAUAAUAACAGUGCUGGAAAUAUAUCAAGAUGCCACCUUACAGCAGUUUCCAGACUCAACCAACGAGUACUUGUAUAUUUCAUCACCUUCUUUAUAGUGGGCCGUUAUAGUUCCAUUUAUCAUGUAUGUUGUCUUUGUAGCAGCAGAGGCAUACUGUUUAGCGAUUUGUGAGUCCGGGAAAAUGCUUGAAAACAGUGAACUCAAGUGGUUAGUGAAAGCAAGAGGAAUGUUGUGGUUAGCCAAUGCUGUUGCGACUUUAACCUCAGCUGGAAUAACCUGCAAUGUUAACAAAAUCAUGAGAUACUUUAAAGAAUACCGUCAGAUUUUGAGACUUUCCACUAAAGUUCACAAAUUAACACCUGCUAUUAUCUUUAGCAUCAUUUUAAAAAAAUUAGUUACAAAUUUCAUAAAACUGAUUACUUGUACUAUUUAUUUUGAUUUAAAAUAAUUUAAUAGUUUCCCUAUUGAUUUUAUCUUUUCAAAGUUUUUUGAACGUAAUAUUUGCUAAGCUCAACACCCGUGGUCCUCUUGAUAGAAAUAAUUUAAAUUGAACUUUAAACCACUAAAUUUCUUUAAUUGCAGAAGGGCCGAUAGGACAGCCUACACCAACUCGAAACUGUGCAGCUGUCACUUCAAAGAACAUAAAAAAGAAAAUGGUCCAACCAUCUUCGAGUGGAACGUAAACAAAUCUUUUGACUAAUACCCAGAACCCAAAGUAUCACGGGAAAGGUACAUUAUCUUUGAACUUAUAUAACUUUCUGUCAAAUGUAAAUAGAUACGAGAAUUUUUAUUUACUAGUAUAACUUAUAUAUUCGUCUAUUUUUGAUUUCAGAAGGACAUUCUCAGAGAUUCCACAUUUUAGUGCUGAAGAAACCAGCGUCAAAUCUCUGUGUGAAAUAGAUAGAUCAAUUUCUGAUUUGAUUAUCAGAAUCUGCAGAACUAUUUUAAAUCACAAAAUCAGGGAAAAUAAAGGGAAAAUACUGGAACAGGAGAGGGAGCUUACGUAUAUGAAGAGCCAUUUCUCAUAUAAUUCCAUUAAGAAAGAUUAUUCACUUGUAAACCAUUAUAAAGGUUUACCCAAUACAAAGGACUUUGAUGACUUGUUAUUUAAGUUUAUGCUGUCGCUUUAAUUUCGAUUAUUAUUAUGGAUGGAUAGUCGACUGUAUUUCUGGUGAGGAGCAAUUAUUCAUUACUUUGAUGAAACUGAGAUGCAAUUUCAAUCACAUUGAUUUGUCAAUUAUGUUCUCGACUAUAAGUCACCACUAUAAGUAACAUCAUCCUGAUAUGGUUGCACGUCUUGCAUGAGGUACCAUAUGUCGGUAUGAUACAAGGACGCCCUAUACAAUCAGUUGAGAAGAACAAAUGCUAUCUUCUGAGCUACUUUUCCACAUUUAGCAGUUCCAGGAUUAUCUUGGACUGCACAGAGAUCCAGUAUGAUAUACCAUCCAACAUGGAGAGCAUUGUGUUAAACUUUCACAUUACAAACAGCAUAAUACACUAAAGGCUAUGGUUGGAGUAGCACCCAACUAUUAUCACAUAUACCAGUGAAAUGUAUCCAGGCUCAAUAAGUGACAAAGAGAUUGUCCACCAUAGUGGUGUCCUGAAACAUAUGAAGCCUGGAAGACCUUGUGAUCGCACAUAAAGGCUUCCUCAUACAAUAUCUCAUGCCUCUACAAGUAUCUCUAAAUCUGCCGCCAUUCUUAAACAGUGGUCAGUUUAUCGGGACCCAGGCUGAGAUCACUGUGCUAGGCUUCGUGUGGAGAGGGCUAUCCAACGGAUGAAAACUUUCUCAAUUCUAGACCAUCUUCCUCAUCAAUAUCAACCAUUAGCUAGCAAAAUAGUCCAAGUUAUUGCAUGCUUAGUAAAUCUUCAAAAUUCACUAAUCAAAGAAACUGCAUAAAGUUUGUUCAACAAUUUUAUUCAAAUGCUUGUUUCAUGGUCACUGACUUGAUAAAUGAGAUACAUGUAACUAGAAUUUGUAUGGCUUCCCAAAUUCUUAACAUCUGUACCAGGUGCCAGUCUAUUGGGAUCUUUAAAAUGUAUAUGAAUGAUCAACUUUCGUAACGUUCAUUACAGUAAGUAUACUAAUUAGAUACCAUGCUGGUACAUACAAGUUCAAACCCGAUUUUGUUCGUAUUCUCAACCGAGUAUUGAAUAGCUUUGGAUACACAAGUUUUUAACUUUAAUCGUUGUCAACAAAUAAAAAAAUGUCAAGUCGUGAUCAGUAAAAGAUUUUAUUGGUUUAUCAAUCGAGUGUUCAUUGGCAUGAAAACAUGUACUUUGUGAAUAGUUUCAUACAUUUUAGUGACAAUAUAGUACAUGUAUACAUUGACAUUUUACACUGCCAUACUUAGGUAACACAAACGAAGUAUUAUAGGUAUAAACACUGUUAUCUUAUUUUCUACGUGUAUGUUUUAACAAUAAACGCUAAUCAAUCCCACCGUUCAUAAACACAGGCAAGAACUUUGUGAACAAAAAAUCAAGCAGUCCUGUGAUAUUUUCCAUCCAAGCGGGGUCUCGGUGAACUAAAAACACGUACAUGUGGCUAGGAGAUCAAACGAUAAAAUCACACAUAUCCUGUUAGUAAGGUACAAGUUUCCUUGGACCUAGUGGUAAUAUUUAUACCCGGUAAGAUCACUGAUGUUAA
RNAcentral lists this unclassified non-coding RNA (5985 nucleotides) under Limulus polyphemus (Atlantic horseshoe crab). Its description in RNAcentral is "ileal sodium/bile acid cotransporter-like, transcript variant X1". The record is from RNAcentral. Lineage: Eukaryota; Metazoa; Arthropoda; Merostomata; Xiphosura; Limulidae.